Molecule: ribosomal RNA, 146 nt
Filed under: Xylodon flaviporus
Lineage: Eukaryota; Fungi; Basidiomycota; Agaricomycetes; Hymenochaetales; Schizoporaceae
Description: 5.8S ribosomal RNA
Rfam family: 5.8S ribosomal RNA
About the family: 5.8S ribosomal RNA (5.8S rRNA) is a component of the large subunit of the eukaryotic ribosome. It is transcribed by RNA polymerase I as part of the 45S precursor that also contains 18S and 28S rRNA.
Source: RNAcentral
AACUUUCAACAACGGAUCUCUUGGCUCUCGCAUCGAUGAAGAACGCAGCGAAAUGCGAUAAGUAAUGUGAAUUGCAGAAUUCAGUGAAUCAUCGAAUCUUUGAACGCACCUUGCGCUCCUUGGUAUUCCGAGGAGCAUGCCUGUUU